Molecule: transfer RNA, 64 nt
Filed under: Metasalis populi
Lineage: Eukaryota; Metazoa; Arthropoda; Insecta; Hemiptera; Tingidae
Description: tRNA-Glu
Source: RNAcentral
AUUUAUAUAGUUUAAAUAAAACAUCUUAUUUUCAGUAAGAAGAUAAAUUAUUAUUUUAUAAAUU